UCAGUUGUACUUUAUCCAGUGC
Molecule: microRNA, 22 nt
Filed under: Bos taurus (domestic cattle)
Lineage: Eukaryota; Metazoa; Chordata; Mammalia; Artiodactyla; Bovidae
Description: bta-miR-6122-5p
Source: miRBase by way of RNAcentral